GUCAGCAGCCGCGGUAACACCGGCGGCCCGAGUGGUGAUCGUGAUUAUUGGGUCUAAAGGGUCCGUAGCCGGUUUGGUCAGUCCUCCGGGAAAUCUGAUAGCUCAACUAUUAGGCUUUCGGGGGAUACUGCCAGACUUGGAACCGGGAGAGGUAAGAGGUACUACAGGGGUAGGAGUGAAAUCUUGUAAUCCCUGUGGGACCACCUGUGGCGAAGGCGUCUUACCAGAACGGGUUCGACGGUGAGGGACGAAAGCUGGGGGCACGAACCGGAUUAGAUACCCGGGUAGUCCCAGCCGUAAACGAUGCUCGCUAGGUGUCAGGCAUGGCGCGACCGUGUCUGGUGCCGCAGGGAAGCCGUGAAGCGAGCCACCUGGGAAGUACGGCCGCAAGGCUGAAACUUAAAGGAAUUGGCGGGGGAGCACAACAACGGGUGGAGCCUGCGGUUUAAUUGGACUCAACGCCGGACAACUCACCGGGGGCGACAGCAAUAUGUAGGCCAAGCUGAAGACUUUGCCUGAAUCGCUGAGAAGAGGUGCAUGG
RNAcentral lists this ribosomal RNA (541 nucleotides) under uncultured archaeon. RNAcentral's name for it is "bacterial SSU rRNA". It matches the Rfam family "Archaeal small subunit ribosomal RNA", at positions 457 to 997 of the family's 1478-position model. The record is from RNAcentral.